GAUCUCUUAAAGCUGUUCUCAGUUCGGACUGCAGUCUGCAACUCGACUGCACGAAGCUGGAAUCGCUAGUAAUCGCGCAUCAGCCACGGCGCGGUGAAUACGUUCCCGGGCCUUGUACACACCGCCCGUCAAGCCAUGGGAGCCGGGGGUACCUGAAGUGCGUAACCGCGAGGAGCGCCCUAGGGUAAAACUGGUGACUGGGGCUAAGUCGUAACAAGGUAAC
Molecule: ribosomal RNA, 223 nt
Filed under: uncultured bacterium
Lineage: Bacteria
Description: partial 16S ribosomal RNA
Rfam family: Bacterial small subunit ribosomal RNA
Source: RNAcentral